GCGGAGUUGACAGGUUGCUACGGGUGAAAGAAAAUAUCUAAAGGGUAUCAGUUUUCGGACGGUUUAAACUGAACCAAGCAAUGAACUAUACUGGAUAUUUUGUGAUAAGGUUGCUGCUAAUUACAACAUAUGCGAGGAGCUUCCUUAUAAGAUCAUUUCAUAUGGAAAACUGAACAAAUCCUGCCGCAUACGGAAAAUGUUUUGCUAUCACCACUUCCGCAACCAUCCACGGAAAAGGUUGAAGAGACUUUUCUCGAUCUUCCCUCGGAUCAAAACCCUCCGAACGAACUACGAUGCUGCUGCCGUUGUAGAAUCCACAGGACCUUACUACUGAAGGACACAUAGAAUGGUUUGUCUUCUGCUGCAGCGCAAAUUCAGAAGGAAUCCCGGAUUAAGCAUUCCAGCUCGAAAUUCUAACGUUAGGCAGUCGUUUUCGCAGUCGUAUGAAUUCUCCGGAAAAUUGUUUUUAUGAAAAAAUAACGAUGACGUAAAACGAUAA
Molecule: long non-coding RNA, 499 nt
Organism: Armigeres subalbatus
Lineage: Eukaryota; Metazoa; Arthropoda; Insecta; Diptera; Culicidae
Exons: 3
Source: RefSeq, a predicted model, not a curated record